UAAUACGUAGGUGGCAAGCGUUGUCCGGAUUUAUUGGGCGUAAAGCGAGUGCAGGCGGUUCAAUAAGUCUGAUGUGAAAGCCUUCGGCUCAACCGGAGAACUGCAUCAGAAACUGUUGAACUUGAGUGCAGAAGAGGAGAGUGGAACUCCAUGUGUAGCGGUGGAAUGCGUAGAUAUAUGGAAGAACACCAGUGGCGAAGGCGGCUCUCUGGUCUGCAACUGACGCUGAGGCUCGAAAGCAUGGGUAGCGAACAGGAUUAGAUACCCUGGUAGUCCAUGCCGUAAACGAUGAGUGCUAAGUGUUGGGAGGUUUCCGCCUCUCAGUGCUGCAGCUAACGCAUUAAGCACUCCGCCUGGGGAGUACGACCGCAAGGUUG
Molecule: ribosomal RNA, 377 nt
Filed under: uncultured bacterium
Lineage: Bacteria
Description: bacterial SSU rRNA
Rfam family: Bacterial small subunit ribosomal RNA
Source: RNAcentral